RNAcentral lists this ribosomal RNA (433 nucleotides) under uncultured bacterium. RNAcentral's name for it is "partial 16S ribosomal RNA". It matches the Rfam family "Bacterial small subunit ribosomal RNA", at positions 28 to 507 of the family's 1533-position model. The record is from RNAcentral.
GACGAACGCUGGCGGCAUGCCUAACACAUGCAAGUCGAACGAAACGUUCGGGUCUAUUGGUCUACGGGGGCGUAACGCGUGGGAACCGGCCCUUAGGUUCGGAAUAACUCCCCGAAAGGGGUGCUAAUACCGGAUAAUGUCUUCGAACGAAAAAUUUAUCGCCUUUGGAUGGGCCCGCGUGGCAUUCGCUCGUUGUGAGGUUAAAAGCCGACCAAGGCGUGCAUCCAUAGCUGGUCGGAGAGGAUGAUCAGCGACGCCGGGAGUGAGACACGGCCCAGACUCUUACGGGAUGCAGCAGUGGCUAAUAGUGGACCAUGGGGGAAAGCAUGAAGGACCUAUGAUGGGUGAGUGAUGAAGGUAUUAGGGAUGUAAAGCUCUUUUACCCGGGAUGAUAAUGACAGUACCGAGAGAGUAAGCUACGGCUAACUACGUG